GGUGGACGCUGGCGGCGUGCCUAAUACAUGCAAGUCGAGCGAACGGACGAGAAGCUUGCUUUUCUGAUGUUAGCGGCGGACGGGUGAGUAACACGUGGAUAACCUACCUAUAAGACUGGGAUAACUUCGGGAAACCGGAGCUAAUACCGGAUAAUAUUUUGAACCGCAUGGUUCAAAAGUGAAAGACGGUCUUGCUGUCACUUAUAGAUGGAUCCGCGCUGCAUUAGCUAGUUGGUAAGGUAACGGCUUACCAAGGCAACGAUGCAUAGCCGACCUGAGAGGGUGAUCGGCCACACUGGAACUGAGACACGGUCCAGACUCCUACGGGAGGCAGCAGUAGGGAAUCUUCCGCAAUGGGCGAAAGCCUGACGGAGCAACGCCGCGUGAGUGAUGAAGGUCUUCGGAUCGUAAAACUCUGUUAUUAGGGAAGAACAUAUGUGUAAGUAACUGUGCACAUCUUGACGGUACCUAAUCAGAAAGUCACGGCUAACUACGUG
RNAcentral lists this ribosomal RNA (497 nucleotides) under uncultured bacterium. RNAcentral describes it as "partial 16S ribosomal RNA". It matches the Rfam family "Bacterial small subunit ribosomal RNA", at positions 28 to 507 of the family's 1533-position model. The record is from RNAcentral.